CAGCCGCCGCGGGAAAACCAGCACCUCGAGUGGUCAGGAGGUUUAUUGGGCCUAAAGCAUCCGUAGCCGGUUGCAUAAGUUUUCGGUUAAAUCUAUGCGCUUAACGUAUAGGCCGCCGAAAAUACUGUGCAGCUAGGGAGUGGGAGAGGUACACGGUACUCGAUAGGAAGGGGUAAAAUCCUUUGAUCUAUUGAUGACCACCUGUGGCGAAGGCGGUGUACCAGAACACGUUCGACGGUGAGGGAUGAAAGCUGGGGGAGCAAACCGGAUUAGAGACCCCGGUAGUCCCUGUCUCUUAUAA
RNAcentral lists this ribosomal RNA (301 nucleotides) under uncultured bacterium. Its description in RNAcentral is "partial 16S ribosomal RNA". It matches the Rfam family "Archaeal small subunit ribosomal RNA", at positions 459 to 760 of the family's 1478-position model. The record is from RNAcentral.